GCCAUCGUGGUGUAGUGGUUUAACAUUGGACUAUGACUCUGGAGACAAGGGUUCAAAUCCUUGCUGGGGCA
This is a non-coding RNA of Phrynosoma platyrhinos (Desert horned lizard), 71 nucleotides long. Lineage: Eukaryota; Metazoa; Chordata; Lepidosauria; Squamata; Phrynosomatidae. The record is from the annotation of a GenBank genome assembly.